RNAcentral lists this ribosomal RNA (451 nucleotides) under uncultured bacterium. RNAcentral's name for it is "bacterial SSU rRNA". It matches the Rfam family "Bacterial small subunit ribosomal RNA", at positions 329 to 794 of the family's 1533-position model. The record is from RNAcentral.
GUCCAGACUCCUACGGGAGGCAGCAGUCGGGAAUAUUGCGCAAUGGAGGAAACUCUGACGCAGUGACGCCGCGUGCAGGAAGAAGGUUUUCGGAUUGUAAACUGCUUUAGACAGGGAAGAAAGAAAUGACGGUACCUGUAGAAUAAGCUCCGGCUAACUACGUGCCAGCAGCCGCGGUAAUACGUAGGGAGCAAGCGUUAUCCGGAUUUAUUGGGUGUAAAGGGUGCGUAGACGGGUAUACAAGUUAGUAGUGAAAUCCCUCGGCUUAACUGAGGAACUGCUACUAAAACUAUAUAUCUUGAGUACUGGAGGGGAAAGCGGAAUUCCUAGUGUAGCGGUGAAAUGCGUAGAUAUUAGGAAGAACACCGGUGGCGAAGGCAGCAUGCCGGCUCCACACUGACGCUGAGGCACGAAAGCGUGGGUAUCGAACAGGAUUAGAUACCCCGGUAAU